RNAcentral lists this ribosomal RNA (433 nucleotides) under uncultured bacterium. RNAcentral's name for it is "partial 16S ribosomal RNA". It matches the Rfam family "Bacterial small subunit ribosomal RNA", at positions 29 to 507 of the family's 1533-position model. The record is from RNAcentral.
AACGAACGCUGGCGGCAUGCCUAACACAUGCAAGUCGAACGAGACCUUCGGGUCUAGUGGCGCACGGGUGCGUAACGCGUGGGAACCUGCCCUUAGGUUCGGAAUAACUCCCCGAAAGGGGUGCUAAUACCGGAUAAUGUCUUCGGACCAAAGAUUUAUCGCCUUUGGAUGGGCCCGCGUUGGAUUAGCUAGUUGGUAGGGUAAAAGCCUACCAAGGCGACGAUCCAUAGCUGGUCUGAGAGGAUGAUCAGCCACACUGGGACUGAGACACGGCCCAGACUCCUACGGGAGGGAGCAGUGGGGAAUAUUGGACAAGGGGCGAAAGCCUGAUCCAGCAAUGCCGCGUGAGUGAUGAAGGCCUUAGGGUUGUAAAGCUCUUUUAACCGGGAUGAUAAUGACAGUACCGGGAGAAUAAGCGCCGGCUAACUCCGUG